GUCUAAACGUCAGAGGUAUCGGAUUCACAUGGAAUUGUUGUUUAAUUCAAAUGUUUGAAUAUGACAUUAUUUGUGAAGAGAUGAAAUGUAAUUUUAGCUUCCAAAUGAGAGAUCUGUGCUUUCAUAAGUUUCUCUGCUCACAGUGGUCCGCCCCUGUGAAGAGGAAUGGGUUAUAAACCUUUCAGACACACCCCUCUCCCUCCACUAUAAAAGCCAUUUUCCCAGAAAAUAACUUCCUGUUCCGGGUACUCUAGGAUGACGAUCCAGGGUCAGAAUGGUUCAGAUAAUCACUAUAGAUGAAGCCAACAUCAGCAUGGACUUUGAUUGUGAAUGGUAUGAACUUUGAACUCGUGUUCACUACAGAAGUGAUAUCUCCUAGCCGUUGAGUUGGCAACAGCUGCUACAAACGCAGGUUAGGAAGGACAGUCCGAGUAUCCCGUCUUCCACACACAACGUUACUACAAAGUAUCCCGUGACAACCAGAGACAUUCUCCAAAAGACAGAGGACUCGGGUUGGCGAUACGUUCUUCCAUCUACCACCAACCUACUGAAGCGCAGCUCAGAGUGGCUGUGAUGUUCUGGACUAUCUCUAUGUUGCCACGCAUUGGCUCUAGUUAUGAGCUCCAGGAUACCAUUCAUGCUUUGAAAGACGAGAAUGUCCACCUUCACCUCCGUCUGGAGAAUCUCACCCGCGCUCUCCGCAAACUGAAGCAUCUGCUCUUGGAUCACUCAAGAGGUAUCGGUCCUGAGAAACUUCACCUGCUGGAACAGGCUUUCUGCUGGCCUGAUCUCCAAGGAGCUGCCAGUCCUAUUUUCAUCGUACCUGCCUUCUUCCUCCUUACUCCAAUCAUUGUCUGGUUGAGCCAUCUACUUUUCUGACUUCUGUGAACUUGAGAAUACAGAAAUCACUAUUGUUAGCUUGGUCCCAGAUCUGUUUGUGUUUUCUUGCCAAAUCCGCCAACUCCUAUGGUCAGUGUGUCACGCAUGAGUUAGUGUAGGAUCCCGUAUUAUCGGCAUAUUAAACAAUGUUUAAGAAAUAUAAUACCUUCAACAGUGUUAUCCUGUGAUCAAGCCAUCAAUGUUUUGUGAUUAUUGGUGUUUGUUACGUUCCCCAGUUUCUGUGUUCUGUUUUGUAUUUUAGUGUGUGUGUUUCAGGAGAUGGCUUCCUGAAGUACUCCCCAACCAGCUGAUUGGUCAACCCCAGGCUAAUUGGUGAUUGGAGCUGACCCCGCCCCCUCGUCAAGAAGCAGCUGACUCUAAUCACCAUUGCCACCCGAAGAUAAAAGCCAGUGUUCUGCCCCUAGAGAUCGGUAGAGGAGAGAGAUUUGAGAUAAGGAGUAGAGAUUUGAGAUAAGGAGUAGAGAUUUGAGAUAAGGAGUAGAGAUUUGAGAUAAGGAGUAGAGAUUUGAGAUAAGGAG
This is a long non-coding RNA of Salvelinus fontinalis (brook trout), 1418 nucleotides long. RefSeq lists it as uncharacterized. The transcript has 3 exons. NCBI's taxonomy places the organism in Eukaryota, Metazoa, Chordata, Actinopteri, Salmoniformes, Salmonidae. The record is from RefSeq and is a predicted model, not a curated record.